RNAcentral lists this ribosomal RNA (388 nucleotides) under uncultured bacterium. RNAcentral describes it as "bacterial SSU rRNA". It matches the Rfam family "Bacterial small subunit ribosomal RNA", at positions 28 to 414 of the family's 1533-position model. The record is from RNAcentral.
GAUGAACGCUAGCGGCAGGCUUAACACAUGCAAGUCGAGGGGUAACAGGGAAUAGUUUACUAUUUUGCUGACGACCGGCGCACGGGUGAGUAACGCGUAUACAAUUUACCUUUUACAGGAGGAUAGCCCAGAGAAAUUUGGAUUAAUACUCCAUGGUAUUACGGAAUCGCAUGGUUUUGUAAUUAAAGUUUCGGCGGUAGAAGAUGAGUAUGCGUCCUAUUAGCUAGAUGGUGAGGUAACGGCUCACCAUGGCGACGAUAGGUAGGGGUCCUGAGAGGGAGAUCCCCCAACUGGUACUGAGACACGGACCAGACUCCUACGGGAGCAGCAGUGAGGAUAUGGUCAAUGGAGCAACUCUGAACCAGCCAUGCCGCGUGCAGGAAGACUG